Molecule: ribosomal RNA, 452 nt
Filed under: uncultured bacterium
Lineage: Bacteria
Description: bacterial SSU rRNA
Rfam family: Bacterial small subunit ribosomal RNA
Source: RNAcentral
AGCGAACGCUGGCGGCAGGCUUAACACAUGCAAGUCGAGCGGGCGUAGCAAUACGUCAGCGGCAGACGGGUGGGUAACGCGUGGGAACAUACCUCUUGGUUCGGAACAACACAGGGAAACUUGUGCUAAUACCGGAUAAGCCCUUUACGGGGAAAGAUUUAUCGCCGAGAGAUUGGCCCGCGUCUGAUUAGCUAGUUGGUGAGGUAACGGCUCACCAAGGCGACGAUCAGUAGCUGGCUGAGAGGAUGAUCAGCCACAUUGGGACUGAGACACGGCCCAAACUCCUACGGGAGGCAGCAGUGGGGAAUAUUGGACAAUGGGCGCAAGCCUGAUCCAGCCAUGCCGCGAGAGUGAUGAAGGCCCUAGGGUUGUAAAGCUCUUUUGUGCGGGAAGAUAAUGACGGUACCGCAAGAAUAAGCCCCGGCUAACUUCGUGCCAGCCGCCGCAGUAAC